AUGGAGGCGCCGUCGCUGGAGCACCGUGUGCCGGCGGAGGAGCGGCACCGGAUCGAGCGGGUGGCGCGGGACCGGGACGGGGACCUGGCGGAGGCGCUGCUGCUGCGGCUGCUGAGGAUCACGCGCAACGGCCGGCGCUGGGGGUUCCUGGCCAACGACCACCCGCUCCACCCCUACUACCUCCAGCAGAAGGUCUCCGAGCAGUGCCGCAUCCUCCGCCCCCGCCACGCCGCCGACCGCUGA
This 243-nucleotide ribosomal RNA is filed under the name Triticum aestivum (bread wheat). Its description in RNAcentral is "partial small subunit ribosomal RNA". Lineage: Eukaryota; Viridiplantae; Streptophyta; Magnoliopsida; Poales; Poaceae. The record is from RNAcentral.